ACAUUCAACGCCAUCUGUACAUAGUGAUCUAUUUAUGCAUAGGCAACAAAGCCAUGGAUACGAACGUGCGUGCACAUUAGAUAGAUGCAGUUCUUUCAGCGUUUGUGAAACUAAACGAAUGUCGCUACUUCAACUAAAAGAAGACACAUUAGAGAAAGAAGACGAAAAAAAAAAAGGAAGAAGAAUAAGAAGAAGGAGACGAAAAAGGAGAAGUUAUAUUGCCGUAACCCUCCCCUUGAAAAAGAAAGACAAGAAACAAGAAAGACAAAAUAACAGAGAAUACAUGAUGAGAAAAAACAGAAAAGGAAGCGAAAAAAAAAAACUAAGGCAUAUAAAAUAAAUGAAUGAAUAAAAGAAUAGAAGAAUAAAAGAAUAGACGAGAUAAAAGGAGGAAUAAAAAUAGAAUAGAAAGAAUGUCGUUUGUAUAAAAGUACUGGGAGAAGACUGAGAGAGUAGGUGGGGUGGAGACAGAAAUAGGUAGAGAAUGGAUGGAUGGAUGGAUGGAUGGAUGGAUGGAUGGAUGGAGGGAGGGAGGGAUGGUUGGAAAGAAGAGUUUCAAGAGAGGUGCAGAGAUAAAGAAAUUAUAGGUAUAGUAAUAUGACUGAUGAUGAUAAUGAUAGUGAUUGUGGUGGUGGUGGUGGUGGUGAUGGUGGUGGCGAUGCUGAUGGCGAUGGUGGUGACGACGAUCGUGAUGAUUGGCGAAGCCGACGAUGAUGAUGGUGAUGACAAAGAUGACGGUGAUUGUAGUGAUGGAGAAGGAUGAUGAGGACAAUAACGAAGACACAGCAUAUUUAUACAUAUAGAGUAAGAAAGCUGUAUGCGAGUCUAAAGGAGAGAGAGAAAAAAAGCAAUGAAAUGAAAUGUAAAAGAAGCGACAGAGGAAGCGCGAAAAACGAAGUGACAAAUGUAAGAUGUGUUAUCACCUCUACACUCCACACACACACACACACACACACACACACACACACACACACACACACACACAAACAAGCAAAUAUAUAUAAGUAUACAGUCACAAAGACAAACAAUAUAUGUAUAAAUCAUGACGAGGAACAAAAGACUAGUAAUAGUAGUAGUAGUAGUAGUAGUAGUAGUAGUAGUAGUAGUAGUAGUAGUGUCUGUUAUUGAAGAUAUUGCUAAUGCUGCAGAGUGGUGGUGGUGGUGGUGGUUUUGGUGGUGGUAGUGAUGGUGGUUGGUGAUGUAAAACACAUUUGAGUCGAAAAGCAUUUUGAAAGGAAGAAACUAA
This is a long non-coding RNA of Octopus bimaculoides (California two-spot octopus), 1246 nucleotides long. RefSeq lists it as uncharacterized. The record is from RefSeq and is a predicted model, not a curated record. NCBI's taxonomy places the organism in Eukaryota, Metazoa, Mollusca, Cephalopoda, Octopoda, Octopodidae.